GAACGCACCUUGCGCCCUUUGGUAUUCCGAAGGGCAUGCCUGUUUGAGUGUCAUUAAAUUCUCAACUUUGAAACAUUUUUGUUGUCUUCAAAGUGUGGACUAUGGAGGCUUGCCGGCAAAAUAUGUCAGCUCCUCUUAAAUGCAUUAGCAGAACUUUUUUUUGUUUAAAGGGACUGGCUUCAGUUUGGUAAUUCUAUCUAUGCUGUUGCUGUUGACCUUUGUAUGUUCUGCUUCUAAUGGUCUUCGGACUGUCUCUAUAUGAGGCAUACACUUUUAAGCUUGACCUCAAAUCAGGUAGGAAUACCCGCUGAACUUAAG
RNAcentral lists this unclassified non-coding RNA (318 nucleotides) under uncultured Clavariaceae. RNAcentral's name for it is "sequence contains 5.8S rRNA gene". The stretch from base 1 to 53 matches the Rfam family "5.8S ribosomal RNA", at positions 102 to 154 of the family's 154-position model. Lineage: Eukaryota; Fungi; Basidiomycota; Agaricomycetes; Agaricales; Clavariaceae. The record is from RNAcentral.